Molecule: ribosomal RNA, 481 nt
Filed under: Brulleia sp. BJS-2011
Lineage: Eukaryota; Metazoa; Arthropoda; Insecta; Hymenoptera; Braconidae
Description: eukaryotic LSU rRNA
Rfam family: Eukaryotic large subunit ribosomal RNA
Source: RNAcentral
CCUAAAGGCGUAAUGAAAGUAAAAGUUGACCUUGCGUUAACUGAGGGAGGAUGAGUUAUGUUACGAUGUAUCUCCGCACUCCCGGGGUGUCUCGUUCUUAUUACAAGGAGAGGCGCACCCAGAGCGUACACGUUGGGACCCGAAAGAUGGUGAACUAUGCCUGGUCAGGACGAAGUCAGGGGAAACCCUGAUGGAGGUCCGUAGCGAUUCUGACGUGCAAAUCGAUCGUCGGAACUGGGUAUAGGGGCGAAAGACUAAUCGAACCAUCUAGUAGCUGGUUCCCUCCGAAGUUUCCCUCAGGAUAGCUGGCACUCGCGAGUUCUAUGAACUUUUACGAGUCUCAUCUGGUAAAGCGAAUGAUUAGAGGCCUUGGGGCCGAAACGACCUCAACCUAUUCUCAAACUUUAAAUGGGUGAGAUCUCUGGCUUGCUUGAAUAUAUUAAUAUGAAGCCAUGAGAUAUCGGAUCAGAGUGCCAAGUGG